UGGGGAAUAUUGGACAAUGGGCGAAAGCCUGAUCCAGCCACGCCGCGUGUGUGAAGAAGGUCUUCGGAUUGUAAAGCACUUUAAGUUGGGAGGAAGGGCAUUAACCUAAUACGUUAGUGUUUUGACGUUACCGACAGAAUAAGCACCGGCUAACUCUGUGCCAGCAGCCGCGGUAAUACAGAGGGUGCAAGCGUUAAUCGGAAUUACUGGGCGUAAAGCGCGCGUAGGUGGUUUGUUAAGUUGGAUGUGAAAUCCCCGGGCUCAACCUGGGAACUGCAUUCAAAACUGACUGACUAGAGUAUGGUAGAGGAUGGUGGAAUUUCCUGUGUAGCGGUGAAAUGCGUAGAUAUAGGAAGGAACACCAGUGGCGAAGGCGACCACCUGGACUAAUACUGACACUGAGGUGCGAAAGCGUGGGGAGCAAACA
RNAcentral lists this ribosomal RNA (427 nucleotides) under uncultured bacterium. RNAcentral describes it as "partial 16S ribosomal RNA". It matches the Rfam family "Bacterial small subunit ribosomal RNA", at positions 355 to 774 of the family's 1533-position model. The record is from RNAcentral.